GCGGAGGAAAAGAAACCAACAGGGAUUGCCCUAGUAACGGCGAGUGAAGCGGCAACAGCUCAAAUUUGAAAUCUGGCUCUCGGGCCCGAGUUGUAAUUUGUAGAGGAUGCUUUUGAUGCGGUGCCUUCCGAGUUCCCUGGAACGGGACGCCAUAGAGGGUGAGAGCCCCGUCUGGUUGGAUGCCAAAUCUCUGUAAAGCUCCUUCGACGAGUCGAGUAGUUUGGGAAUGCUGCUCUAAAUGGGAGGUAUAUGUCUUCUAAAGCUAAAUACCGGCCAGAGACCGAUAGCGCACAAGUAGAGUGAUCGAAAGAUGAAAAGCACUUUGAAAAGAGAGUUAAAAAGUACGUGAAAUUGUUGAAAGGGAAGCGUUUAUGACCAGACUUGGGCUUGGUUAAUCAUCUGGGGUUCUCCCCAGUGCACUUUUCCAGUCCAGGCCAGCAUCAGUUUUCGCCGGGGGAUAAAGGCUUCGGGAAUGUGGCUCUCUCCGGGGAGUGUUAUAGCCCGUUGCGUAAUACCCUGGCGGGGACUGAGGUUCGCGCAUCUGCAAGGAUGCUGGCGUAAUGGUCAUCAACGACCCGUCUUGAAACACGGACCAAGGAGUCGUCUUCGUAUGCGAGUGUUCGGGUGUCAAACCCCUACGCGUAAUGAAAGUGAACGCAGGUGAGAGCUUCGGCGCAUCAUCGACCGAUCCUGAUGUUCUCGGAUGGAUUUGAGUAAGAGCAUACGGGGCCGGACCCGAAAGAAGGUGAACUAUGCCUGUGUAGGGUGAAGCCAGAGGAAACUCUGGUGGAGGCUCGCAGCGGUUCUGACGUGCAAAUCGAUCGUCAAACAUGGGCAUGGGGGCGAAAGACUAAUCGA
This 858-nucleotide ribosomal RNA is filed under the name Fusarium clavum. RNAcentral describes it as "partial large subunit ribosomal RNA". It matches the Rfam family "Eukaryotic large subunit ribosomal RNA", at positions 50 to 938 of the family's 3401-position model. The record is from RNAcentral. Lineage: Eukaryota; Fungi; Ascomycota; Sordariomycetes; Hypocreales; Nectriaceae.